RNAcentral lists this transfer RNA (85 nucleotides) under Felis catus (domestic cat). It matches the Rfam family "tRNA". Rfam says of the family: Transfer RNA (tRNA) molecules are approximately 80 nucleotides in length. Their secondary structure includes four short double-helical elements and three loops (D, anti-codon, and T loops). The record is from Rfam by way of RNAcentral. Lineage: Eukaryota; Metazoa; Chordata; Mammalia; Carnivora; Felidae.
GCCUGGGUGGCUCAAUCGGUUAAGCAUCUGACUUCCACUCAGGUCAUGAUCUCAUGGUCUGUGAGUUCGAGCCCCACAUCAGGCU